UCAACAAGUUUAGCAGGUGCUAUUGGUGGAUCUUUUACGGAUACAUGUAUCCAUUCUCCAAAGUGACCUGCAUUUUUAUUUUUAAUUUUUUGCUUAAUCGUGCAGGUAAUAACUAAUAUAUGAUAUAUUGUGAUCCAUUCCCUCCUCUACAUGCCAAGACUGGUGGAAUUGUUAUGUCAAUUUAUUGGUAUGGUUUUUAUUGUGCACCCAAUUAACUACCACAAAUGCAGCAAAAAAUUGAUAUAUUAUUGGUAUUCGUCGUGUUUAGGAAGAUGCACUACUUUUUAAAAACAAAAGCAACAACAAUACAAUACAAUAUAUUUUUUGUUGUUAAUCCUUUUUCUAAUACAUAUAGAUUCUAGUUUAUUUUCAUAUCUAAAUAUGUGUGUUUUAUGUCUUUAAUUAUUAUCUCAUACUUUAUUAGAAUAAAUUGAAUAAUCUACCAUAUAUUCUUGUUAUGUAUCAUACUUCGUCUUCUCCGUCCUCUCUCCCAAAAUUUGUCAUCUUUUUACUUUGACUGUUAUUUUGUUUCAUCGUGUUCAGUUUGAUAUAUAUAUAUGGAUCCUGAUACAAAUCGAAAAAUAUAAGAUUCUGAUGACGAAGAUUGCGCAGAAAAUAUAUUUUUUUCAGAUGCAUGACUAAGACGAAACUUGUAUGCAGAUGGACAGGGUGUUAUCUUCAAUUACAGAUACUUUAAAGGAUUUAGCACAUUAUAAUUGGAAAACGAUUGUAUUUGUUGUUGAGGUUGAAGAUCUGAUCCAUGAAUGCAGAGAUAUAUUAUAGAUAAUGGUGUUUAUAGUUCAUUAUAUAUCUCAAACAUAUUUUAUUGAAUAUAAUUAAAUGUGUGUGUGUGUGU
RNAcentral lists this long non-coding RNA (856 nucleotides) under Solanum lycopersicum (tomato). RNAcentral describes it as "long non-coding RNA (SLYC_LNC000540)". The record is from RNAcentral. Lineage: Eukaryota; Viridiplantae; Streptophyta; Magnoliopsida; Solanales; Solanaceae.